This is a long non-coding RNA of Sycon ciliatum, 450 nucleotides long. RefSeq lists it as uncharacterized. Lineage: Eukaryota; Metazoa; Porifera; Calcarea; Leucosolenida; Sycettidae. The record is from RefSeq and is a predicted model, not a curated record. The transcript is spliced from 3 exons.
CCUACUUCAUACGCCAUUCCGCAUCCCCGGCCAUGUUAAUCACCAAGUAUAAGAUUCCCUCGCUCUACUCAGCUUCUCUUCUUUGAAUAGCGGUGUUUCACGACAUCCUUCCCGCUCCAUUGACGAGCCUUACAAUGGGCAAUUCCGUAUUAGAACCAUUACCCAUCACUGUACCCUCUCGCUCUAUCGACUGGCUAAAGACCGGAAUUAACAUUUGGCGCCCAACAGCGGUUCUGAACAACACGACGACCUGAGAUUGACGCAGAUUGCUGUCUCAAGACUUCGCUUCGGGUAGACACUGGUUGCAGAGCGUUGUCUCCCUGUUGCGCCCGGGUACCGGAUUUCCACAACUCGUGCCAUAUUGUCCGGACCAGCUUAUGGAAUUGGGAAGAUGACAAUCGAUCGGCGACCGCAACAUUCAAAGCAGGGAAGAGUUGAUUAUUAGCCCAA